UGCCCUAGUAACGGCGAGUGAAGCGGCAACAGCUCAAAUUUGAAAUCUGGCUCUCGGGCCCGAGUUGUAAUUUGUAGAGGAUGCUUUUGAUGCGGUGCCUUCCGAGUUCCCUGGAACGGGACGCCAUAGAGGGUGAGAGCCCCGUCUGGUUGGAUGCCAAAUCUCUGUAAAGCUCCUUCAACGAGUCGAGUAGUUUGGGAAUGCUGCUCUAAAUGGGAGGUAUAUGUCUUCUAAAGCUAAAUACCGGCCAGAGACCGAUAGCGCACAAGUAGAGUGAUCGAAAGAUGAAAAGCACUUUGAAAAGAGAGUUAAAAAGUACGUGAAAUUGUUGAAAGGGAAGCGUUUAUGACCAGACUUGGGCUUGUUUAAUCAUCCGGGCUUCUGCCCGGUGCACUUGUUCAGCUCAGGCCAGCAUCAGUUUUCCCCGGGGGAUAAAGGCGGCGGGAAUGUGGCUCUCUUCGGGGAGUGUUAUAGCCCACCGUGUAAUACCCUGGGGGGGACUGAGGUUCGCGCAUCUGCAAGGAUGCUGGCGUAAUGGUCAUCAACGACCCGUCUUGAAACACGGACCAAGGAGUCGUCUUCGUAUGCGAGUGUUCGGGUGUCAAACCCCUACGCGUAAUGAAAGUGAACGCAGGUGAGAGCUUCGGCGCAUCAUCGACCGAUCCUGAUGUUCUCGGAUGGAUUUGAGUAAGAGCAUACGGGGCCGGACCCGAAAGAAGGUGAACUAUGCCUGUAUAGGGUGAAGCCAGAGGAAACUCUGGUGGAGGCUCGCAGCGGUUCUGACGUGCAAAUCGAUCGUCAAAUAUGGGCAU
Molecule: ribosomal RNA, 812 nt
Filed under: Fusarium concolor
Lineage: Eukaryota; Fungi; Ascomycota; Sordariomycetes; Hypocreales; Nectriaceae
Description: eukaryotic LSU rRNA
Rfam family: Eukaryotic large subunit ribosomal RNA
Source: RNAcentral